AACGUAGGCGCCGUACGUUAUCCGGAGUUACUGGGCGUAAAGGGCGUGCAGGCGGCCUUCUAAGUCUGGCGUGAAAGAACCCGGCUCAACCGGGAGAGGUCGUCGGAGACUGGGAGGCUAGAGGGCGGUAGAGGCGUGUGGAAUUCCGGGUGUAGUGGUGAAAUGCGUAGAGAUCCGGAGGAACACCAGUGGCGAAGGCGACACGCUAGGCCGCACCUGACGCUGAGAGGCGACAGCAUGGGGAGCGAACGGG
This 253-nucleotide ribosomal RNA is filed under the name uncultured bacterium. RNAcentral describes it as "partial 16S ribosomal RNA". It matches the Rfam family "Bacterial small subunit ribosomal RNA", at positions 524 to 776 of the family's 1533-position model. The record is from RNAcentral.